GUGGCAAGCUUAACCGUAUAGGGUAGGCGUAGCGAAAGCGAGUCUUAAUAGGGCGUUUAGUCGCUGGGUAUAGACCCGAAACCGGGCGAUCUAUCCAUGAGCAGGUUGAAGGUUAGGUAACACUGACUGGAGGACCGAACCCACUCCCGUUGAAAAGGUAGGGGAUGACUUGUGGAUCGGAGUGAAAGGCUAAUCAAGCUCGGAGAUAGCUGGUUCUCCUCGAAAGCUAUUUAGGUAGCGCCUCAUGUAUCACUCUGGGGGGUAGAGCACUGUUUCGGCUAGGGGGUCAUCCCGACUUACCAAACCGAUGCAAACUCCGAAUACCCAGAAGUGCCGAGCAUGGGAGACACACGGCGGGUGCUAACGUCCGUCGUGAAAAGGGAAACAACCCAGACCGCCAGCUAAGGUCCCAAAGUUGUGGUUAAGUGGUAAACGAUGUGGGAAGGCUUAGACAGCUAGGAGGUUGGCUUAGAAGCAGCCAUCCUUUAAAGAAAGCGUAAUAGCUCACUAGUCGAGUCGGCCUGCGCGGAAGAUGUAACGGGGCUCAAACCACACACCGAAGCUGCGGGUGUCACGCAAGUGACGCGGUAGAGGAGCGUUCUGUAAGCCUGUGAAGGUGAGUUGAGAAGCUUGCUGGAGGUAUCAGAAGUGCGAAUGCUGACAUGAGUAACGACAAUGGGUGUGAAAAACAUCCACGCCGAAAGACCAAGGGUUCCUGCGCAACGUUAAUCGACGCAGGGUUAGUCGGUUCCUAAGGCGAGGCUGAAAAGCGUAGUCGAUGGGAAACAGGUUAAUAUUCCUGUACUUCUGGUUACUGCGAUGGAGGGACGGAGAAGGCUAGGCCAGCUUGGCGUUGGUUGUCCAAGUUUAAGGUGGUAGGCUGAAAUCUUAGGUAAAUCCGGGGUUUCAAGGCCGAGAGCUGAUGACGAGUCGUCUUUUAGAUGACGAAGUGGUUGAUGCCAUGCUUCCAAGAAAAGCUUCUAAGCUUCAGGUAACCAGGAACCGUACCCCAAACCGACACAGGUGGUCGGGUAGAGAAUACCAAGGCGCUUGAGAGAACUCGGGUGAAGGAACUAGGCAAAAUGGCACCGUAACUUCGGGAGAAGGUGCGCCGGCUAGGGUGAAGGAUUUACUCCGUAAGCUCUGGCUGGUCGAAGAUACCAGGCCGCUGCGACUGUUUAUUAAAAACACAGCACUCUGCAAACACGAAAGUGGACGUAUAGGGUGUGACGCCUGCCCGGUGCCGGAAGGUUAAUUGAUGGGGUUAGCGCAAGCGAAGCUCUUGAUCGAAGCCCCGGUAAACGGCGGCCGUAACUAUAACGGUCCUAAGGUAGCGAAAUUCCUUGUCGGGUAAGUUCCGACCUGCACGAAUGGCGUAACGAUGGCGGCGCUGUCUCCACCCGAGACUCAGUGAAAUUGAAAUCGCUGUGAAGAUGCAGUGUAUCCGCGGCUAGACGGAAAGACCCCGUGAACCUUUACUGUAGCUUUGCACUGGACUUUGAGCCUGCUUGUGUAGGAUAGGUGGGAGGCUUUGAAGCGUGGACGCCAGUUCGCGUGGAGCCAUCCUUGAAAUACCACCCUGGCAUGCUUGAGGUUCUAACUCUGGUCCGUGAUCCGGAUCGAGGACAGUGUAUGGUGGGCAGUUUGACUGGGGCGGUCUCCUCCUAAAGAGUAACGGAGGAGUACGAAGGUGCGCUCAGACCGGUCGGAAAUCGGUCGCAGAGUAUAAAGGCAAAAGCGCGCUUGACUGCGAGACAGACACGUCGAGCAGGUACGAAAGUAGGUCUUAGUGAUCCGGUGGUUCUGUAUGGAAGGGCCAUCGCUCAACGGAUAAAAGG
RNAcentral lists this ribosomal RNA (1838 nucleotides) under Pseudomonas aeruginosa. RNAcentral's name for it is "bacterial LSU rRNA". It matches the Rfam family "Bacterial large subunit ribosomal RNA", at positions 637 to 2463 of the family's 2925-position model. Lineage: Bacteria; Pseudomonadati; Pseudomonadota; Gammaproteobacteria; Pseudomonadales; Pseudomonadaceae. The record is from RNAcentral.